RNAcentral lists this ribosomal RNA (253 nucleotides) under uncultured bacterium. Its description in RNAcentral is "partial 16S ribosomal RNA". It matches the Rfam family "Bacterial small subunit ribosomal RNA", at positions 524 to 776 of the family's 1533-position model. The record is from RNAcentral.
UACGGAGGGUGCAAGCGUUGUUCGGAAUCACUGGGCGUAAAGCGCGUGUAGGCGGCCACUUAAGUCUGAUGUGAAAGCCCUGGGCUCAACUCAGGAAGUGCAUUGGAUACUGGGUGGCUGGAGUACCGGAGAGGAGGGUGGAAUUCCUGGUGUAGCGGUGAAAUGCGUAGAUAUCAGGAGGAACACCGGUGGCGAAGGCGUCCCUCUGGCCGGAUACUGACGCUGAGACGCGAAAGCGUGGGGAGCAAACAGG